This 467-nucleotide ribosomal RNA is filed under the name uncultured bacterium. Its description in RNAcentral is "partial 16S ribosomal RNA". It matches the Rfam family "Bacterial small subunit ribosomal RNA", at positions 28 to 507 of the family's 1533-position model. The record is from RNAcentral.
GACGAGCGCUGGCGGCGUGCUUAACACAUGCAAGUCGAACGGAAAGGCUCCAGCUUGCUGGAGUACUCGAGUGGCGAACGGGUGAGUAACACGUGGGUAAUCUGCCCUGCACUCUGGGAUAAGCCUGGGAAACUGGGUCUAAUACUGGAUAUGACCUUUCUCCUUAUGGGGUUUGGUGGAAAGUUUUUCGGUGUAGGAUGAGCCCGCGGCCUAUCAGCUUGUUGGGGGGGUGAUGGCCUACCAAGGCGACGACGGGUAGCCGGCCUGGGAGGGUGAUCGGGCACAUUGGGACUGAGGUAGGGCCCAGACUCCUACGGGAGGCAGCAGGGGGGAAUAUUGCACAAUGGGCGGAAGUCUGAUGCGGCGACGCCGCGUGAGGGAUGACGGCCUUCGGGUUGUAAACCUCUUUCAGCAGGGACGAAGCGUAAUUGACGGUACCUGCAGAAGAAGCACCGGCUAACUACGUG